This 253-nucleotide ribosomal RNA is filed under the name uncultured bacterium. RNAcentral describes it as "partial 16S ribosomal RNA". It matches the Rfam family "Bacterial small subunit ribosomal RNA", at positions 524 to 776 of the family's 1533-position model. The record is from RNAcentral.
UACGAAGGGAGCUAGCGUUGUUCGGAAUCACUGGGCGUAAAGCGCACGUAGGCGGAUGUGUCAGUCAGGGGUGAAAUCCCGGAGCUCAACUUCGGAACUGCCCUUGAUGCAGCACGUCUUGAGUCCGGAAGAGGUGGGUGGAAUUCCUAGUGUAGAGGUGAAAUUCGUAGAUAUUAGGAAGAACACCGGUGGCGAAGGCGGCCCACUGGUCCGGUACUGACGCUGAGGUGCGAAAGCGUGGGGAGCAAACAGG